CCUACGGGAGGCAGCAGUGGGGAAUAUUGCACAAUGGGGGAAACCCUGAUGCAGCGAAGCCGCGUGAGUGAAGAAGUAUUUCGGUAUGUAAAGCCCUAUUAGCAGGGAAGAAAAUGACGGUACCUGAUUAAGAAGCCACGGCUAACUACGUGCCAGCAGCCGCGGAAAUACGUAGGGGGCAAGCGUUAUCAGGAUUUACUGGGUGUAAAGGGAGCGUAGACGGCAGCACAAGUCUGGAGUGAAAUGCCGGGGCUUAACCCCGGAACUGCUUUGGAAACUGUGCAGCUAGAGUGCAGGAGAGGUAAGUGGAAUGCGUGGUGUAGCGGUGAAAUGCAUAGAUAUUAGGAAGAACACCAGUGGCGAAGGCGGCUUACUGGACUGUAACUGACGUUGAGGCUCGAAAGCGUGGGGAUCAAACAGGAUUAGAUACCCUUGUAGUC
Molecule: ribosomal RNA, 440 nt
Filed under: uncultured bacterium
Lineage: Bacteria
Description: partial 16S ribosomal RNA
Rfam family: Bacterial small subunit ribosomal RNA
Source: RNAcentral